GCAGACGUUUUGAAAACCACCCAAGGCCGGACGCCGCAACAAGAGGCGGCGGCUCAGAUUUCCUUGAAGUAGCCCCCCUGACCAGCGUUUCUGGGAUGAGACACUGGAACUUGCUGCAUCCACGUCAGGAGUUAGCCACCUGUGAAGGGAAGAGAAAGUGUCCUCUCUGUGCCAUCACCACUGGCCAGGCGUCAGCAAUCAGCAUGAGCAUCUGAGCAUCCGCCUGCCUAGAGAUAGUUCGGCCUGGACAUCUGAAGCGCGUUAGCUGCCUGCUCCCCAGGGGCUGACCUGCUUGUUGAGAAUUAUCCCAGGCAGAGCCACAGAGGAUGGAGCAAACAAAGACCAGCUGUUCCCCGAGGAAUAAGCCUUGACAGCAGAUCCUGGAAGGCAGCCUCAGACCGGAUUCUGGAAAGGCCUGGCUUCUCUUGAGGAACAGGGGGGCUUCCGCUCAAAAGAAGCUGUUUAAAUGCAGGAUAUGGUAGGAAAGUCUACUGGCCAGGAGUCUGGAGCACACAGCCAGCCCCAUCUGGCCUGUGGAUUGACUGUGUGACCUUAGGCCAGUCCCUCCCCUCACAGUUUCUUCCGCUGUGAAAUGAGGACUUGGACUUGACCCGGUGGUUUCCCCACAGCCUGUGUCAGUCUGGUGGCUUCUCUUGGGCAAGGACAAUGCCUUCUCCCCUUCAGUGGGCCAUGGAACUUAGAAUCAGAGGGUAGGGUGCAAGCUCCUGCAGACCACUCCCUGCCUGGGCGACCCUGGGAAGGGCGCCACACCACUCUGCACGCUGUCCACCACGGGAAGACACAGGGAAUUUGUGGAUACCGUCCCAAUAGAAC
Molecule: long non-coding RNA, 834 nt
Organism: Myotis brandtii (Brandt's bat)
Lineage: Eukaryota; Metazoa; Chordata; Mammalia; Chiroptera; Vespertilionidae
Exons: 4
Source: RefSeq, a predicted model, not a curated record